Ornithorhynchus anatinus (platypus) is the source of this 138-nucleotide non-coding RNA. The record is from Rfam. Lineage: Eukaryota; Metazoa; Chordata; Mammalia; Monotremata; Ornithorhynchidae.
CCCCUCUCAGGGUAGCACGUGGAGAGUUUCCACUACUCUACCAGUCGCAGCUACAGGAGGGAGAGUCAAGCAGAGGUAUAUCCAUUCCAUUACUAUCUUGGCCAGUGGCUAGUGAAUGGAAGGCAAUCUGCUACAAGU